Molecule: RNA transcript, 2934 nt
Organism: Mus musculus (house mouse)
Lineage: Eukaryota; Metazoa; Chordata; Mammalia; Rodentia; Muridae
Gene name: predicted gene 7167
Exons: 1
Source: RefSeq, marked validated
GGACUUUCUUCAAACUCAGUCACACAGUAAGACAUGAAGCAAGUCUCAAAAAUUUGGGAAAAUGGAAAUAACACUUUGCAUACUAUCUGACCACCAAGAAACAAAGCUAGUUAUUGAAAAUAGAAAUCUCAAAAGGCACAAAACUCACAGAAGCUAAACAGCAGACUACUGGAUGGAAACCAAGGAAAAAAAUUAAGAAGGAAAUUAAAGAUUUUCUAAAAUUUAAUUAAAACGAAAACACAACCUACCAGAAUCUGUGGGAUACAAUGAAAAGUCAGUACUAAGAAACUGUUCACAGCACUGAGAACCUACAUCAAAAAACUGGAAAGAGUAUAUUGAAGAAGUUAAUACUGUACUGAAAGGACUUGGAAAAGCAAGAAUAAACAACACCCCAAAGGAGUCAAUGAAAAGAAAUAAUAAAACCUACAGACAAAAUUAAUGAAAUAGAAAUGAAAAAAAAUCAGUGAAAGAAAGGGUUGUUUAGGAGACUCUUGCCUGUCACUGCCAGACACUUCUCUCAGGCGGUGCGUAAAAAAAUAUUUCUUGGAAGAUGGCCACUAUGCAGUUGCAAAGGACAGCUUCCCUGAAUUCAUUGGUAUUUCCCAAUAAGAUAUCAAUGGAGCAUCAGUCUUUGAUGUUUGUGAAGAGGCUCCUAGUUGUUUCAGUGUCUUGCAUCACCUAUUUGAGACGAAUAUUUCCAGAACGUGCUUAUGGGACAAGAUAUCUGGAUGAUCUCUGUGUCAAAAUUCUGAAAGAAGAUAAGAAUUGUUCAGGUUCUUCACAGCUAGUGAAGUGGAUGCUAGGAUGCUUUACAGAAGAAAUAUCUACGGAUGAUCAAUCUAGCUGAAUACACCAAUCCAGGAGAUCCUCAGACAAUUUCAGGAUGUUACCAGUUUAAAUUCCAGUACACCAAAAAAAAAAAAAAUGGACCAAUCAUGGACUUUAUAAGCAAAACAAUAAAUCUUGUACAACAUCUGCUGACAGCAAGAAAGCAAGCAUUCCCCUCAUUCGGAAGAUUUAGGUCUUAAUGCAAAAUCUAGGACCAUUACCUAAUGCUGUUUGUCUGACCAGGAAACUUUUUUACUAUGAUGAAGUUACACCCCCAGAUUACCAACCACCUGGUUUUAAGGAUGGUGAUUAUGAAGGAGUAAUAUUUGAUGGGGACCCUACAUACUUAAAUGUGGGAGAAGUACCAACACCUUUUUACAACUCCAGAUUAAAAGUGACCACUGAGAAGGAACGAAUGGAAAAUAUUGAUUCAACCAUACUCAAACCAAAAGGAUCAAAAACACAAUUUUGAAAACUUCUAAGGGACAAAGAUGAUGUAGAAGAUGAAAAUCAUAAUAAUUUUGACAUUAAAACUAAAAUGAACGCAGAGAAUGAAAACUCUGGAGCUUCUGGAAUCAAGAAGCAGAUUUAGAUUGUAAGAAAGAAGAAACUGCAAUUCAAAAAGAGCCACUGUCCUUCAAUUUCUCAUUGUCAGGUUGAGCAGUUAGAGCCAGUACAACAUCUGAACUUGAUGUGUCUGAGAGCAAAACAAGGAGCAGAAAAUUCUCUCAGAGUAAAAUAGUAAAUGGAGAUAAUCAACAAGGACAAACGUCUGAAGAAAAUCGGAAGAGAAGUCUUCGUCAGUUUGGGAAAACACGUCCUUCAUGUCUUGGAAUCUAGUCAAGAGUCAGUGCUGAAGAAAAGGAGAGUUAGUGAACCGAAGGAACAUACCUAAAAAUUAUUUUUCUUAUGCAGAUUUGCAGCUCUCAACAUCUAAACUUACAUGCUGUAAUAUUUGAAGGUGUGCCUUCUGAACUUCUGAAAAUUAUUUUGUAGUUCAUAGUUAUUAAACUAAUGAAAGUUUUAGCUAUUAUAUUGUGUUUACCUGAGAUAAAUCCAAGGGAACUUUUGACUAAACAAAAAUACAAAUGUCAUUGAUUCUGCUCAUAUCCACUGAAUACAAUCUGCCUUCUAUUUUAAAGAAAGCUUUUUUAAAAAUGUGUUAAGUUUUAAGGCCCUCUAAAACCAUUUCUGAAAUGUUUAUUCUGACUUUAAAAUUCUGUAAGGAUUCACUUUUUACUUAUGUUAAAACUGUACCAUUUACUUGGUGCUAUUAAAACAAUGUUUGCUAUUUUGAAAAAAGAAAAAAGAAAGAGUUGUUUAUUUGAAAAGGCUAAAACUACUGAUAGAUCAUUUGCUAAAUUAAGUAAAAGAAAUAAAGCUUAUCUCAAUUAAGAAAACCAUAGAUGAAGAAAGAAAUAACCUGACAAAUACUGUGGAAAUGCAGAGAACCAUACAGACAUACGUUUUAAAAAUCCUAUGGGGAUAGAGAGAUGGUUCAGCAGUGAAGAGAGAGCACUGGCUGUUCUUCCAGAGGUCCUGAGUUCAAUUCCCAGCAACCACAUGAUGGCUCCCAACCAUCUGUAAUGGAACCCAAUGCCCUCUUCUGGUGUGUCUGAAGACAGCUACGAUGUACUCAUAUAAAUAAAAUAAAUCUUUAAAAACAUUCUAUACUCUACUAAACUGGAAAACCAAAAAGAGAUGGAUGAAUUUCUUGAAACAUAGGACUUACUAUAGUUAAAUAAAGAUGAAGUACAUAAUUUAAAUGGAUCAAUAGCAACCAAUGAGAUAGGAGCAGUUAUUUAAAAUUUCAUAACUGAAAAAUAGCCAAGGUCCAGAUAGAGCACUGCAGAUUUUGUCAAUACUGUCAAUUGAAGAACUAACACCAAUACUCCUUAAAUUAUGCCAUACAAUGGAAAAGGAAGGAAUAUUUCCAAACUUUUUGUGAAGCCAGGAUUACUCUGAUAUUAAAACCAAACGAUACAACAACAACAAAAUUAUCAGCCAAUAUUUCUAAUGAACAUGGAUGCAAACAUUCUCAAUAAAGUACUUGUAAGCCAAAUUCAAGAACACAUUUUUAAAAAUCAAUAAACAGUCCUAUAUCCC